Molecule: long non-coding RNA, 219 nt
Filed under: Dasypus novemcinctus (nine-banded armadillo)
Lineage: Eukaryota; Metazoa; Chordata; Mammalia; Cingulata; Dasypodidae
Description: lncRNA (ENSDNOG00000052579.1)
Source: RNAcentral
GGAGGAGUGACGUCAUAAACAAAGCGACGGAAGCCACACCUGGAAAACAACUGCCCAGAUUCUCUGGAGAGUGGAGGAGACUGGAGGAGGACUCCACAACUGCCGAAGUGAAGAAAGGAGAAAACACCUUUGCUUAACUUCUGCUUGCCUGAUUGUGCAUGAAAAUCCAGAGGAAGAUAUAUGCCUGCUAAGGGAUUGACAAUGCAAUCACAGGUGAGU